This 253-nucleotide ribosomal RNA is filed under the name uncultured bacterium. RNAcentral describes it as "partial 16S ribosomal RNA". It matches the Rfam family "Bacterial small subunit ribosomal RNA", at positions 524 to 776 of the family's 1533-position model. The record is from RNAcentral.
GACGAAGGUGGCAAGCGUUGUUCGGAUUCACUGGGCCUAAAGGGCGCGUAGGCGGCUCCGUAGGUGGCGUGUGAAAGCCCCCGGCUCAACCGGGGAAGUGCGCGCCAAACCACGGUUCUUGAGGGCGGUAGGGGGGACUGGAACUCUCGGUGGAGCGGUGAAAUGCGUAGAUAUCGAGAGGAACACCUGCGGCGAAGGCGGGUUGCUGGGCUGACACUGACGCUGAGGCGCGAAAGCUAGGGGAGCGAACGGG